This is a long non-coding RNA of Amblyraja radiata (thorny skate), 231 nucleotides long. RefSeq lists it as uncharacterized. The transcript has 3 exons. NCBI's taxonomy places the organism in Eukaryota, Metazoa, Chordata, Chondrichthyes, Rajiformes, Rajidae. The record is from RefSeq and is a predicted model, not a curated record.
UUUUGCUUAAAUAAAGAAAUUGUUUAACCCUUUCAUCAACAGACGAUAGAUAACUUUGGGUUAUCCAGUGAAGCUAAACACUAUCUCUGACCCAGGACAAUGGUCGUACCCUUCAUUGACCUUGUGUAUCCAGCUUGAACUGCCUCCUAUUGCUAAGUGGAGGCCAAAGUGAUUAGUUUUGUCUAUGAGAAAACCAAGUGGAAUGUGGUAAAGUUGCUUAAUACCGACAGU